This is a non-coding RNA of Zootermopsis nevadensis, 548 nucleotides long. The record is from RefSeq and is a predicted model, not a curated record. NCBI's taxonomy places the organism in Eukaryota, Metazoa, Arthropoda, Insecta, Blattodea, Termopsidae.
AUGUAAUUCUCUGCGUUCGGAUGAUGUAAUGAAUGUUUUACUGUGCCUACGAGAUAAAGUUCAUAUUUGUAGGAUCCAUGCUUCUAUCGCAACAUCGAAAACCCAAAAGACAGUCUUAUCGAUACCAAGUGUUCCAAACAGAAUUUUCCAAAACUGGACCUGUUUGAAGAGAAAAGGGAAGAUGCCUACUCAUUUGGGUCUCUUGGGAAGAGCUAAUCUAAGGUACCCUUUUAAUGCCUUUGGAAGAUGGAGUUGGUUGAUACUGUCAUAGGUAGUCUUGCUGCACACUACAGCUCGGCACAAAUGUUGCAAGGGAAAAGUAAAGUUACGAUGGAGAGGAAACGUAAGCAUAGGUUCAAAGAACAUGCAGCAAGAUGGGUCCUUAUAAUGUUCAAUAAGACCACAAACUGUUGGAGAUGCAAAUACACCAGGAUCAUGAGAAUCAAAGCUGAAAUGGUGAUUCCAUUGUUCAAUGCGGGCAUGAAGUGAACGCCCAUAUUUACGGAAGCUUACAGAAAAUAAAUAUUCUUCUUGUGCUGAGUCACGAA